UUCUGAUUGACUCCUCUAGAGAGCUCCUUGCCUUCCCUUCUCACCACCAGCCUCAUCCACUAGAGGUUGCUCUUAUAUCUAAUCCACGAUUACUCUUGGCAGCACAAUCCCUUCAAACCACACAUUUUGAGUAACAGAAACCCUGAAGACAGCUAAAGGAUGUCAAGAUACUCAAGACAUCUUUUUCAUGACAAAAAUCAUGCAGGGAAUUUCAGCUGUUCUACAUUCUCGCCAAUAUUCUGUAUGGUCCUAUAUACGAGAGCUUAAAGAACUCAUUACCGCCAGUUCUCCACUAGAAGAGAUGUUAAAGGAAGUCCUUCUUUCAAGUAGAAAAAAAUGUCAUCGGAUAGAAAUAUAAAUUUACACAGAAGAAUAAAAAGCACCAGAAAUGCUACCAACAUGGGAGGCCUGCAGCUGUGUUCCAGAUCACGAGGAAGUGUAAGCAGGAUGAUACUUUCUUCCCCAAAAGCUGUCCAUGCUUCAUUCCCGGAAACCUGUGAAUGUUACAUCCCAUUGCACAAGGGACUUUUGCAGAUGUGAUUAAGGGUAUGGACUUUAUAACGAAUGGCCUAGAUCCACCCAGGCUCCAGUGGAACACAGCUUCAUAUUCAGAAAUGUAAAUCAGAAGCUUAGUCAUAUUUAUUAAACAAACCAUUAUGGAUCAAACUUUAUUUGGAUAAACCACAAGAUUCACAGAUAGAAAGAAACCCUGGGGAAUGCAACAUUUUCAUAAUUUAAAAAAUUUAAUGCGCAAGAAAGAGACUUUGACUUCUCCAUUUCUAAAAGAUAGUCUCUAGAAAUGAUUGAAGAUAAACAUAAAAAUUUGACUUCAAGGAUAUUCUCUGUUGCAGUGAAUGGAUACAACCCAGAUGUUCAAAAACAAGAAAUAACUAUAUAAAAUUUAGCACAAACAUCCAAUGGAACGCUAUGCAAUAAUU
RNAcentral lists this long non-coding RNA (938 nucleotides) under Equus asinus (donkey). RNAcentral describes it as "lncRNA (ENSEASG00005029316.1)". The record is from RNAcentral. Lineage: Eukaryota; Metazoa; Chordata; Mammalia; Perissodactyla; Equidae.